CUACGGGGGGCUCCAGUGAGGAAUAUUGCACAAUGGGGGGAACCCUGAUGCAGCAACGCCGCGUGGAGGAUGACGCAUUUCGGUGUGUAAACUCCUUUUAUAUGUCAAGAAAAUGACGGUAGCAUAUGAAUAAGCACCGGCUAACUCCGUGCCAGCAGCCGCGGUAAUACGGAGGGUGCAAGCGUUACUCGGAAUCACUGGGCGUAAAGGACGCGUAGGCGGGUUGGAAAGUCAGGUGUGAAAUCCUACAGCUUAACUGUAGAACUGCACUUGAAACUUCUAAUCUAGAGUAUGGGAGGGGGAGAUGGAAUUAGUGGUGUAGGGGUAAAAUCCGUAGAUAUCACUAGGAAUGCCUAGAGCGAAGGCGAUCUCCUGGAACAUUACUGACGCUAAGGCGUGAAAGCGUGGGGAGCAAACAGGAUUAGAUACCCCAGUAGUC
Molecule: ribosomal RNA, 439 nt
Filed under: uncultured bacterium
Lineage: Bacteria
Description: partial 16S ribosomal RNA
Rfam family: Bacterial small subunit ribosomal RNA
Source: RNAcentral